AGGUCGAGUAGACCAAGGCGCUUGAGAGAACUCUGCUGAAGGAACUAGGCAAAAUGGUACCGUAACUUCGGGAGAAGGUACGCUGUUGUUGGUGAUGGAACUGCUUCCUGAGCUGACGACAGCCGCAGAAACCAGGCCGCUGCAACUGUUUAUUAAAAACAUAGCACUCUGCAAACACGAAAGUGGACGUAUAGGGUGUGAUGCCUGCCCGGUGCUGGAAGGUUAAUUGAUGGGGUUAGCGUAAGCGAAGCUCUUGAUCGAAGCCCCAGUAAACGGCGGCCGUAACUAUAACGGUCCUAAGGUAGCGAAAUUCCUUGUCGGGUAAGUUCCGACCUGCACGAAUGGCAUAAUGAUGGCGGCGCUGUCUCCAGCAGAGGCUCAGUGAAAUCGAAAUCGCUGUGAAGAUGCAGUGUACCCGCGGCUAGACGGAAAGACCCCGUGAACCUUUACUGCAGCUUGACACUGAACUUUGACCUUACUUGUGUAGGAUAGGUGGGAGGCUUUGAAGCUGGAACGCUAGUUCCAGUGGAGCCGUCCUUGAAAUACCACCCUGGUAAUGUUGAGGUUCUAACUCUGUCCCGUGAUCCGGGACGAGGACCGUGUCUGGUGGGUAGUUUGACUGGGGCGGUCUCCUCCUAAAGAGUAACGGAGGAGUACGAAGGUGCGCUCAGCGUGGUCGGAAAUCACGCGUAGAGUAUAAAGGCAAAAGCGCGCUUAACUGCGAGACCCACAAGUCGAGCAGGUACGAAAGUAGGUCUUAGUGAUCCGGUGGUUCUGUAUGGAAGGGCCAUCGCUCAACGGAUAAAAGGUACUCUGGGGAUAACAGGCUGAUACCGCCCAAGAGUUCAUAUCGACGGCGGUGUUUGGCACCUCGAUGUCGGCUCAUCUCAUCCUGGGGCUGAAGCAGGUCCCAAGGGUAUGGCUGUUCGCCAUUUAAAGAGGUACGCGAGCUGGGUUUAGAACGUCGUGAGACAGUUCGGUCCCUAUCUACCGUGGGCGCUGGAAAUUUGAGAGGAUCUGCUCCUAGUACGAGAGGACCAGAGUGGACGAACCUCUGGUGUACCGGUUGUGACGCCAGUCGCAUCGCCGGGUAGCUAUGUUCGGAAGGGAUAACCGCUGAAAGCAUCUAAGCGGGAAGCCUACCUCAAGAUAAGAUUUCCCUAGGACUUUAUGUCCUCUAAAGAGCCGUUCGAGACUAGGACGUUGAUAGGUUGGAUGUGGAAGCAUAGUGAUAUGUGAAGCUGACCAAUACUAAUUGCUCGUGAGGCUUGACUAU
This 1276-nucleotide ribosomal RNA is filed under the name Acinetobacter baumannii OIFC099. RNAcentral describes it as "bacterial LSU rRNA". It matches the Rfam family "Bacterial large subunit ribosomal RNA", at positions 1669 to 2925 of the family's 2925-position model. The record is from RNAcentral. Lineage: Bacteria; Pseudomonadati; Pseudomonadota; Gammaproteobacteria; Moraxellales; Moraxellaceae.